Chroicocephalus ridibundus (black-headed gull) is the source of this 756-nucleotide long non-coding RNA. RefSeq lists it as uncharacterized. The transcript has 3 exons. NCBI's taxonomy places the organism in Eukaryota, Metazoa, Chordata, Aves, Charadriiformes, Laridae. The record is from RefSeq and is a predicted model, not a curated record.
UGUGGCUCACACGCUGACAGCCGUGGGCUCCUCAUCUCAAAAUGUGGACAUUUCAGGCCAAAAAUGUUUCCGACCUAACUCCACAAGCAUUUAUGGGCUCCUUCAGGACCGUGUUACAGCCUGCACCGAGUCCCCACGAACACGGCUGGCUGAUCCUGCCACCAGCAUCCCGUCGGACUCGGGCGACCGCAGCCACGGCAAGCAAACUGCACGCAGAUGGAUUUCACUCUCAUUUUUGCAGCUCAAGCCAACUGGGAAUGUAAACCGCACUGACCAAGGAAAGUUGGGGAAAUUGCCAGUGAACGCAGAAAAAAAGAAAAGGAAGGAAGAUGUGGAAAGCAGGAGGUUUAAAUGAAAAGUGAACGUUUUAAGUGGAGGAGUAAGAGGUACAUUGAAUUUGGAAAUACGACCACAGCAGAGCCGUGGAAAAAUCCAAGGAGUUAUUAAAAUCUUUAAAACUCAAUUGUUUAGAAAUUAGGCACACAGCUUAAAAAUGACGUUUUGGCAAAGCUGGGCGUGUUUUGGAAUAGACAUCACUGUCCAAAGCCCUUUAGAAACAGGCCGUACGCAGACGUCUCCGAGACACUGGUGAAGAGUGAAAAACUGAAUAACAACAUAGUACAACCAAACCAAAACCUUGACCUGUUCAGGAGAUACAGGUCAAGAUUACAAAAAAGUAAGAUUAUUUUAUUUGCUUUUUUAACGAUAUCACAUCUUGCGUCCUUCUUGAAAAACUAUAGGAAUGUUUUCUUUACU